RNAcentral lists this long non-coding RNA (1274 nucleotides) under Parus major (Great Tit). RNAcentral's name for it is "lncRNA (ENSPMJG00000007814.1)". The record is from RNAcentral. Lineage: Eukaryota; Metazoa; Chordata; Aves; Passeriformes; Paridae.
CGCAGCUCUCUGUCCCACCAAUCCAUGUGAAAGUCAACUCAUUUCUCUAGGAAUGAUGCUGCCUCAGGCAAAGCCUGUAUGACUCAGAAGGAAAAAUUAUUAAAGUUUUAUUAAUUCCCCAACCCUGUUUACAUCUGAUCCUCUGUACUGAGUGUCAGGACCUCUCUGAACACUCAAGCAGCAGAGUUUCAGGACUUGGGAACAAUACCAUGUAAUUUAUGAUUGCUUCCUGCCCAGUGUCUGGUCAGCACAGAACAGAACUCGAAUCUCAAAUCUCAGGGAGCACUGUGGCAAUCUCCUGCCUCUGCCAAGAGAAAACCAGGCCUGCAGCAGCUCCCCUAACUGCACACAGAGACCUGACAGCAAAGGUGCAGUUAUGUACUGAGUCAGCACAAACAGGGCAGUGACAAGAGAAAGCAUUCGGAAUUCUGAACCAGCUCAGCUCUGGAUGGAUUGAAGAAAACAAAAUGUUCCUGCACACUGGUGCUAAUGAAGCCUGGUUUGCGAUGGCCUCGUGUGUCGUGCUUGAUUGAUUUUAAACUGUAUUAUGCAAAGCAGCAGCAUUUGCUCUGCCUGUGAGGCGCUGGAGAGCCCACACACGGCUGUGGAGUGAAUCAGGAGCUGAGGGAAAGAACGAGGCAGGUCCCGGGUGAACAGCCCGAUGUCUCCCAGGGGAACUGGCUGGGGUGAUGAAAGAUGCUGCACUCCUCACCUGACAGCAGCUGCUCCUGGCAAAGGGCUGCUGCUCCCAGGCUGAGCCACACAAACAGCUAAUUGUGCACUUUGCUGCAACGCUGGCUGUGGUAGCUAAAAUCACCCUCAUUUCAUGGCUCACGAGACAGGAACGUGCCCUUCUUGAGGGGUAAACUGGAGGCAAAAGUGGUGAGCAAUUAUUUUUUUAGUCAAUAGGCAGGUUUUGGUGGAAAAAUGAGCCAUGUUGAGAACUAAACCAUCAAAGGAGAGUGUCUGGUGUGAAUGAGCUUCGUCCACCUGAGAAACGCCCAUGUGAGAGCUGCUGGGGGAAGGGAUGUGCAAGGUCCUCUGAGGCAGGGGGGUGGGAGGGGGGAACUAAAGAAUGACCCUGCAGAUGGGGACAUGGAAAAUUCCUCUGCUGGGCAGAGUCCCAGGCAGACUCCAAUGCUUCCAGGGUGACCACUGUCCUUAAUGCUAUGCUCAGCUUUUCAGGGCAAUGUCACCAAAUGUCACCUGAGAUUUCUCCACUUUGGAGGAAUCUCUUAAAAGAAUAACGGAGAAAGCAAUAAAGUCUAUCAAGC